ACGCUGGCGGCGUGCCUAAUACAUGCAAGUAGAACGCUGAAGCUUGGUGCUUGCACCGAGCGGAUGAGUUGCGAACGGGUGAGUAACGCGUAGGUAACCUGCCUCUUAGCGGGGGAUAACUAUUGGAAACGAUAGCUAAUACCGCAUAAAAGUCGAUAUCGCAUGAUAUUGAUUUGAAAGGUGCAAAUGCAUCACUAAGAGAUGGACCUGCGUUGUAUUAGCUAGUUGGUGAGGUAACGGCUCACCAAGGCGACGAUACAUAGCCGACCUGAGAGGGUGAUCGGCCACACUGGGACUGAGACACGGCCCAGACUCCUACGGGAGGCAGCAGUAGGGAAUCUUCGGCAAUGGGGGCAACCCUGACCGAGCAACGCCGCGUGAGUGAAGAAGGUUUUCGGAUCGUAAAGCUCUGUUGUAAGAGAAGAACGAGUGUGAGAGUGGAAAGUUCACACUGUGACGGUAACUUACCAGAAAGGGACGGCUAACUACGUGCCAGCAGCCGCGGUAAUACGUAGGUCCCGAGCGUUAUCCGGAUUUAUUGGGCGUAAAGCGAGCGCAGGCGGUUAGAUAAGUCUGAAGUUAAAGGCUGUGGCUUAACCAUAGUACGCUUUGGAAACUGUUUAACUUGAGUGCAGAAGGGGAGAGUGGAAUUCCAUGUGUAGCGGUGAAAUGCGUAGAUAUAUGGAGGAACACCGGUGGCGAAAGCGGCUCUCUGGUCUGUAACUGACGCUGAGGCUCGAAAGCGUGGGGAGCAAACAGGAUUAGAUACCCUGGUAGUCCACGCCGUAAACGAUGAGUGCUAGGUGUUGGGUCCUUUCCGGGACUCAGUGCCGCAGCUAACGCAUUAAGCACUCCGCCUGGGGAGUACGACCGCAAGGUUGAAACUCAAAGGAAUUGACGGGGGCCCGCA
Molecule: ribosomal RNA, 910 nt
Filed under: uncultured bacterium
Lineage: Bacteria
Description: bacterial SSU rRNA
Rfam family: Bacterial small subunit ribosomal RNA
Source: RNAcentral